RNAcentral lists this ribosomal RNA (480 nucleotides) under uncultured bacterium. RNAcentral describes it as "partial 16S ribosomal RNA". It matches the Rfam family "Bacterial small subunit ribosomal RNA", at positions 28 to 523 of the family's 1533-position model. The record is from RNAcentral.
GACGAACGCUGGCGGCGUGCUUAACACAUGCAAGUCGAGCGAUGAAGCUUUCUUCGGAAAGUGGAUUAGCGGCGGACGGGUGAGUAACACGUGGGUAACCUGCCUCAUAGAGGGGAAUAGCCUUUCGAAAGGAAGAUUAAUACCGCAUAAGAUUGUAAUAUCGCAUGGUAUAGCAAUUAAAGGAGUAAUCCGCUAUGAGAUGGACCCGCGUCGCAUUAGCUAGUUGGUGAGGUAACGGCUCACCAAGGCGACGAUGCGUAGCCGACCUGAGAGGGUGAUCGGCCACAUUGGGACUGAGACACGGACCAGACUCCUACGGGAGGCAGCAGUGGGGAAUAUUGCACAAUGGGGGAAACCCUGAUGCAGCAACGCCGCGUGAGUGAUGACGGUCUUCGGAUUGUAAAGCUCUGUCUUUAGGGACGAUAAUGACGGUACCUAAGGAGGAAGCCACGGCUAACUACGUGCCAGCCGCCGCGGUAA